This 208-nucleotide ribosomal RNA is filed under the name uncultured bacterium. RNAcentral's name for it is "partial 16S ribosomal RNA". It matches the Rfam family "Bacterial small subunit ribosomal RNA", at positions 568 to 774 of the family's 1533-position model. The record is from RNAcentral.
UGCGUAGGCGGUCCGGCAAGUUGGGCGUGAAAGCCCUCGGCUCAACCGAGGAACUGCGCUCAAAACUGCCGGGCUGGAGGGAGACAUAGGUGAGCGGAACUUAGGGUGGAGCGGUGAAAUGCGUUGAGAUCCUAAGGAACACCAGUAGCGAAAGCGGCUCACUGGGUCUCUUCUGACGCUGAGUGCACGAAAGCUAGGGGAGCGAAGA